UAAUAAGUGUUUUAUGGCACUUUUUAAAUCCAUAUCCACCUUGUGUGCAAUGUCAGUCGGUUUUCUUUUUUCGUCAAGAAAAAAAGGAUCGACCAAACAUCAACUUAUUCUAAUUGAACUUUUGUCUGAAAACUAUUUUUGAAUUGUUUUAUUCAUAAUAUUUUUCAGACAAAGAGUUAAAAGAUAAAGGUUGAUGUUUUGGUCGAUCUCCAUGAAGAAGAUCGACUGACAUUGCACACAAGGUGGAUAUGGUAUUUAAAGAGUGCCAGUAAAACACGUAGUAAUGAAGGAUCCUUUCCGUAGGUGAACCUGCGGAAGGAUCAUUCAUAAUAAGUGUUUUAUGGCACUCUUUUAAAUCCAUAUCCACCUUGUGUGCAAUGUCAGUCGGUAUUCUUUCGUCAAAAAUGGAGAUCGACCAAACAUCAACCUUUAUUCUAAUUGAACUCUUUGUCUGAAAAACUAUUAUGAAUAAACUAAUUCAAAAUA
RNAcentral lists this unclassified non-coding RNA (486 nucleotides) under soil metagenome. RNAcentral's name for it is "partial internal transcribed spacer 1". The record is from RNAcentral.